GCAGUGCCUGUGGCCCUGAGCAGGGGCCAGGGCUGGGCAGACUGGCUGCCAGCAGGGUGAGGUUGCUGGCAGCACCACUGGGCUCUUCGAAAGAGUCAGGCACCCCAACCUUAUGCUGCUGGAAGAAGCUGCCCAGACAUCUCCUAGCCCUCCCAGGGUGUCAUUUGGAUGUGGCAUGAGCUGCUUCUCUGCUGGUAAAUGCCUCCAACCGCCCCAGGACAGGCAGAGGAUGGCUCUGGAAAGCAGCUAUUUCUGAGGGUGACCACAGGGAAUGGCCAGGGACCAGCUGGAACCCCCCUUUUCUUGGAGCCAGCACUGGAAGGAAGCGGCAAUUGCACACCCUUUGGGACCUGAGAGCCCAGACAUGUUAGCGGGAGCUGCACCAACUGCUGCAAGGGCCCCCAUCCAGUGCUGGUGUCUUGAGGCAUGGAGGGUCCCAGGGGAUCCCAGGAGCCAGCCUGGUAACCUGAGCUCAGACCUCAUACCUUCCUGAAGAGCUGAAGAAGAAG
This is a long non-coding RNA of Pezoporus occidentalis (night parrot), 509 nucleotides long. RefSeq lists it as uncharacterized. The record is from RefSeq and is a predicted model, not a curated record. Lineage: Eukaryota; Metazoa; Chordata; Aves; Psittaciformes; Psittacidae. The transcript is spliced from 3 exons.